GCGGGAAUUCGAUUAGAGUUUGAUCCUGGCUCAGAUUGAACGCUGGCGGCAGGCUUAACACAUGCAAGUCGAGCGGUAGCACAGGGGAGCUUGCUCCCUGGGUGACGAGCGGCGGACGGGUGAGUAAUGUCUGGGAAACUGCCUGAUGGAGGGGGAUAACUACUGGAAACGGUAGCUAAUACCGCAUAACGUCGCAAGACCAAAGAGGGGGACCUUCGGGCCUCUUGCCAUCAGAUGUGCCCAGAUGGGAUUAGCUAGUAGGUGGGGUAAUGGCUCACCUAGGCAACGAUCCCUAGCUGGUCUGAGAGGAUGACCAGCCACACUGGAACUGAGACACGGUCCAGACUCCUACAGGAGGCAGCAGUGGGGAAUAUUGCACAAUGGGCACAAGCCUGAUGCAGCCAUGCCGCGUGUGUGAAGAAGGCCUUCGGGUUGUAAAGCACUUUCAGCGAGGUGGAAGGUGGUGAACUUAAUACGUUCAUCAAUUGACGUUACUCGCAGAAGAAGCACCGGCUAACUCCGCGCCAGCAGCCGCGGUAAUACGGAGGGUGCAAGCGUUAAUCGGAAUUACUGGGCGUAAAGCGCACGCAGGCGGUUUGUUAAGUCAGAUGUGAAAUCCCCGGGCUCAACCUGGGAACUGCAUUUGAAACUGGCAAGCUAGAGUCUCGUAGAGGGGGGUAGAAUUCCAGGUGUAGCGGUGAAAUGCGUAGAGAUCUGGAGGAAUACCGGUGGCGAAGGCGGCCCCCUGGACGAAGACUGACGCUCAGGUGCGAAAGCGUGGGGAGCAAACCAGAUUAGAUACCCUGGUAGUCCACGCUGUAA
Molecule: ribosomal RNA, 822 nt
Filed under: uncultured bacterium
Lineage: Bacteria
Description: bacterial SSU rRNA
Rfam family: Bacterial small subunit ribosomal RNA
Source: RNAcentral